CCCUUAGAUGUUCUGGGCCGCACGCGCGCUACACUGAUGCAUUCAACGAGCCUAUCCUUGACCGACAGGUCCGGGUAAUCUUUGAAUCUGCAUCGUGACGGGGAUAGAUUAUUGCAAUUAUUAAUCUUCAACGAGGAAUGCCUAGUAGGCGCAAGUCAUCAGCUUGCGUCGAUUACGUCCCUGCCCUUUGUGCACACCGCCCGUCGCUCCUACCGAUUGAACGGUUUAGUGAGGGCCUCGGAUUGGUCUCGGCCCGCUCUUUACCGGGCGGCGCCGUUGGUCGAGAAGACGCUCGAACUUGAUCGUUUAGAGGAAGUAAAAGUCGUAACA
Molecule: ribosomal RNA, 330 nt
Filed under: uncultured eukaryote
Lineage: Eukaryota
Description: partial 18S ribosomal RNA
Rfam family: Eukaryotic small subunit ribosomal RNA
Source: RNAcentral